This 1110-nucleotide ribosomal RNA is filed under the name uncultured bacterium. RNAcentral describes it as "bacterial SSU rRNA". It matches the Rfam family "Bacterial small subunit ribosomal RNA", at positions 8 to 1107 of the family's 1533-position model. The record is from RNAcentral.
AGAGUUUGAUCCUGGCUCAGAUUGAACGCUGGCGGCAGGCCUAACACAUGCAAGUCGAACGGUAACAGGAUGUGCUUGCACAUCGCUGACGAGUGGCGGACGGGUGAGUAAUGCUUAGGGAUCUGCCUCUGUGUGGGGGAUAACUAUUGGAAACGAUAGCUAAUACCGCAUAAUGUUUACGGACCAAAGGGGGCGUUUGCUCCCGCGCAGAGAGGAACCUAAGUGAGAUUAGCUAGUUGGUAAGGUAAUGGCUUACCAAGGCGACGAUCUCUAGCUGUUCUGAGAGGAAGAUCAGCCACACUGGGACUGAGACACGGCCCAGACUCCUACGGGAGGCAGCAGUGGGGAAUAUUGCACAAUGGGGGGAACCCUGAUGCAGCCAUGCCGCGUGUGUGAAGAAGGCCUUCGGGUUGUAAAGCACUUUCAGUUGUGAGGAAAGGUUAGUAGUUAAUACCUGCUAGCUGUGACGUUAGCAACAGAAGAAGCACCGGCUAACUCCGUGCCAGCAGCCGCGGUAAUACGGAGGGUGCGAGCGUUAAUCGGAAUUACUGGGCGUAAAGCGCACGCAGGCGGUUUGUUAAGCUAGAUGUGAAAGCCCCGAGCUCAACUUGGGAUGGUCAUUUAGAACUGGCAGACUAGAGUCUUGGAGAGGGGAGUGGAAUUUCUAGUGUAGCGGUGAAAUGCGUAGAUAUUAGAAGGAACAUCAGUGGCGAAGGCGACUCCCUGGCCAAAGACUGACGCUCAUGUGCGAAAGUGUGGGUAGCGAACAGGAUUAGAUACCCUGGUAGUCCACACCGUAAACGCUGUCUACUAGCUGUUUGUGAGUUUAACUCGUGAGUAGCGAAGCUAACGCGCUAAGUAGACCGCCUGGGGAGUACGGCCGCAAGGUUAAAACUCAAAUGAAUUGACGGGGGCCCGCACAACCGGUGGAACAUGUGGUUUAAUUCCAUGCCACGCCGAGGAACCUUACCUACUCUUUGCAUCCCAAGAACUUAACAAAAAUGCUUUUGUUGCCUUCUGGAAGUCUUAAAACAAGUGGUGCAUUGGCUGUCGUCACCUCCUGUUUGUGAAAAGUUUGGGUUUAAUCCCCCCAACCAAGGCCAACCCUUA